GAUCAUGGCUCAGGAUGAACGCUGGCGGCGUGCCUAACACAUGCAAGUCGAACGAAGCUCCUGCGACAGAUUCCUUCGGGAUGAAGAUGCUUGAGACUUAGUGGCGGACGGGUGAGUAACGCGUGGGUAACCUGCCCUGUACUGGGGGACAACAGUUAGAAAUGACUGCUAAUACCGCAUAAGCCUACGGAGUCGCAUGACUCAGCAGGAAAAAUUCCGGUGGUACAGGAUGGG
Molecule: ribosomal RNA, 234 nt
Filed under: uncultured bacterium
Lineage: Bacteria
Description: partial 16S ribosomal RNA
Rfam family: Bacterial small subunit ribosomal RNA
Source: RNAcentral